Molecule: long non-coding RNA, 856 nt
Filed under: Ananas comosus (pineapple)
Lineage: Eukaryota; Viridiplantae; Streptophyta; Magnoliopsida; Poales; Bromeliaceae
Description: long non-coding RNA (ACOM_LNC029100)
Source: RNAcentral
GUAUAUCAAAAUUUUAUUUGACCAAUUUUUGGAAAAGAGUGAAUCAUUUACAGUACUUAAUAAAAUUUUAAAAACAGUGAAUCGUUUGCUGUCUUUUUUUAAAAAAAGAAUAUAAUAAAUGAUUCAUUAAUUUUUUUUGGAAAAACUUCAAAACCCCCCCUGUGGUUUCAUAGUUUCUCACUUUGCCCCCCUGUGGUUUAAAGUGUAUCAAUUUGCCCCCCUGUGAUUUUGUUUUUAUCUUUUUGGUAGCUUCUUCGUUAAUAUUUCGUUAAAUUAUAUACAAAAAAACUUCAGAUACACAUAUAGAUUUAUCAAAUAUUCACUUUAGUACCCUUUAAUUUUAACUUUAUUACUGAUUUAAGGAAAAAAAAAAUAAUAAAAUUGAUAAGAAAAAGAGAAAAACAAAACCACAGAGGGGCAAAUUAAUACAUUUUAAACCACAGGGGGGCAAAGUGAGAAACUACGAAACCAUAGGGGGGGUUUUUGAAGUUUUUCUUUUUUUUUCUAUAUAAUUCUAAUGACCCCAUAAAAAUUUCAAAAAAACACAUAUAAUCGUAACAAAAAAAUUUUAAUAACUUAUUCAUAUAAUCCUAACAAUACAAAAAAAAUUUAAUAAUUUACAUACAAUCUUAACAACUCAUAAAAGUUCUCACAACUCGUAAAUCUAUAGACAACAAUAGUAAUUUGAAAACGGUGAAUAAUACACCGCUUUUUAAAGACAAUGAACCAUUCAAUAUUUUUUUUAUUUUUAUCCAAUAUGAUACUAAGUUGGCAAAAAUUGGAUUAGUUAAUCAAAUAAAAUUUUGAAAAAGUCCUUUAGCCAAAUAAAAAUUGUUAUAGAAUUUUUUUUAAAAAA